This is a long non-coding RNA of Oncorhynchus keta (chum salmon), 2210 nucleotides long. RefSeq lists it as uncharacterized. The transcript has 2 exons. NCBI's taxonomy places the organism in Eukaryota, Metazoa, Chordata, Actinopteri, Salmoniformes, Salmonidae. The record is from RefSeq and is a predicted model, not a curated record.
ACAGAUCUGGGGCUAGGCUACCACUCUCAUGUUAGUCUUCCCUUCUCUGUGGGGCUCCAGACAGAGACAGACAGACAAAUCUGGGGCUAGGCUACCGCUCUCAUGUUAGUCUUCCCUUCUCUGUGGGGCUCCGGACAGAGACAGACAGAUCUGGGGCUAGGCUACCGCUCUCAUGUUAGUCUUCCCUUCUCUGUGGGGCUCCGGACAGAGACAGACAGAUCUGGGGCUAGGCUACCGCUCUCAUGUUAGUCUUCCCUUCUCUGUGGGGCUCCGGACAGAGACAGACAGAUCUGGGGCUAGGCUACCGCUCUCAUGUUAGUCUUCCCUUCUCUGUGGGGCUCCGGACAGAGACAGACAGAUCUGGGGCUAGGCUACCGCUCUCAUGUUAGUCUUCCCUUCUCUGUGGGGCUCCAGACAGAGACAGACAGACAGAUCUGGGGCUAGGCUACCGCUCUCAUGUUAGUCUUCCCUUCUCUGUGGGGCUCCGGACAGAGACAGACAGAUCUGGGGCUAGGCUACCGCUCUCAUGUUAGUCUUCCCUUCUCUGUGGGGCUCCGGACAGAGACAGACAGAUCUGGGGCUAGGCUACCGCUCUCAUGUUAGUCUUCCCUUCUCUGUGGGGCUCCGGACAGAGACAGACAGAUCUGGGGCUAGGCUACCGCUCUCAUGUUAGUCUUCCCUUCUCUGUGGGGCUCCAGACAGAGACAGACAGACAGAUCUGGGGCUAGGCUACCGCUCUCAUGUUAGUCUUCCCUUCUCUGUGGGGCUCCGGACAGAGACAGACAAACAGAUCUGGGGCUAGGCUACCGCUCUCAUGUUAGUCUUCCCUUCUCUUUGGGGCUCCGGACAGAGACAGACAGAUCUGGGGCUAGGCUACCGCUCUCAUGUUAGUCUUCCCUUCUCUGUGGGGCUCCGGACAGAGACAGACAGAUCUGGGGCUAGGCUACCGCUCUCAUGUUAGUCUUCCCUUCUCUGUGGGGCUCCAGACAGAGACAGACAGAUCUGGGGCUAGGCUACCGCUCUCAUGUUAGUCUUCCCUUCUCUGUGGGGCUCCGGACAGAGACAGACAGAUCUGGGGCUAGGCUACCGCUCUCAUGUUAGUCUUCCCUUCUCUGUGGGGCUCCGGACAGAGACAGACAGAUCUGGGGCUAGGCUACCGCUCUCAUGUUAGUCUUCCCUUCUCUGUGGGGCUCCGGACAGAGACAGACAGAUCUGGGGCUAGGCUACCGCUCUCAUGUUAGUCUUCCCUUCUCUGUGGGGCUCCAGACAGAGACAGACAGACAGAUCUGGGGCUAGGCUACUGCUCUCAUGUUAGUCUUCCCUUCUCUGUGGGGCUCCGGACAGAGACAGACAGAUCUGGGGCUAGGCUACCGCUCUCAUGUUAGUCUUCCCUUAUCUGUGGGGCUCCGGACAGAGACAUUUAACAUUACAUUUAAGUCAUUUAGCAGACGCUCUUAUCCAGAGCGACUUACAAAUUGGUGCAUUCACCUUAUGACAUCGAGUGGAACAGCCACUUUACAAUAGUGCAUCUAAAUCUUUUAAGGGGGGGGGGGUGAGAAGGAUUACUUUAUCCUAUCCUAGGUAUUCCUUAAAGAGGUGGGGUUUCAGGUGUCUCCGGAAGGUGGUGAUUGACUCCACUGUCCUGGCGUCGUGAGGGAGUUUGUUCCACCAUUGGGGGGCCAGAGCAGCGAACAGUUUUGACUGGGCUGAGCGGGAACUGUACUUCCUCAGUGGUAGGGAGGCGAGCAGGCCAGAGGUGGAUGAACGCAGUGCCCUUGUUUGGGUGUAGGGCCUGAUCAGAGCCUGGAGGUACUGAGGUGCCGUUCCCCUCACAGCUCCGUAGGCAGAGACAGACAAACAGAUCUGGGGCUAGGCUACCGCUCUCAUGUUAGUCCUCCCUUCUCUGUGGGGCUCCGGACAGAGACAGACAGACAGAUCUGGGGCUAGGCUAACCGCUCUCAUGUUAGUCUUCCCUUCUCUGUGGGGCUCCGGACAGAGACAGACAGAUCUGGGGCUAGGCUACCACUCUCAUGUUAGUCUUCCCUUCUCUGUGGGGCUCCGGACAGAGACAGACAGACAGCCCUCCUCAACCUCAAUCUUGGGAUGACUUUGAAUAAUGCCCCAUUUGCACAACAAUGACCCAAUGAGGACAGAGGAGACCUGUGGGCCUAGAAAGAACCAUCACCAGGAAAUCCCACUUUAAAUGGGGC